CCUUUAAGGAGGGGAUUUUUUCCUGUAAUUUAAAAUAAUCUUCAUUUCGUAUUGCCAUUCAUAAAAAUCUUGAUUUUACUUUAAUUUUAGAAUCGGUUUUACCAUGGUUCGUACAGUAUAAAAACGCACAGUUCGCUCGAAAUUUUACCAGACAUAUGUAUGCCUUUGGAUAAGUUUUAAAACUUAAUACAAAAAUACAGAAAGCGGAAAAUGCGGCUCAACGUGGUAUACUGUACUUUGUGGAUGUUUUUGCUACUGCCAUUAAGCACAUCCGGCAAAGUGUGCUUGGACUGGACCAAACGUUGUUAUUCCGAGCGCAGAACAUGCCACGGAAUCAUUUCCGGGUUAAAUUUAGAUAAUAUGCAAAGUUGUUCGCAUCGAUGUUGGAAUAUGGGAUAUUUACAUGGGAACUGUAUGAAAAUAAACGAACCAAGAACAUUCAACUGCAAAACAAGAUCGAAACAUGCAUGGAUAUGUAUGUGCGAUCACAGCCGCCCUGGAUGGAAACAUAGACAUUGCCGAUAGCUAACGUUACUACGUAAUGAAAACUUGAACUACAAAACGAGGUUUGAUCCUGCAGAGAUGCUCUUACAAUGGGGAGUUAACUAUGGGACAUGAAAUUUAAACUGUUUGAAAACAUAAAGAGAAAAUACAAAUUGAACAACAGUUCUGAGGGAAAUACAAAGAGACCAAGCGAUUGAUAGCCCAUAUCCCUUGGCACGUAGACCUCUUUUAAUGUAGAUUUUCACGUCACAUAUGAACAGUAUUUCACAGUGAUUUAAUAGAUUGAACACGAGUGGUUACAAGCCGAACGGAUUCGUAAAAAUUAAAUAGAUUUAUGUUUAAUUUUUAAUUCACAACUUCCUUACUGCCAAUUUGACCGUUAGAUUCAGUUUUAUUAACUUAUCUAUAUUUCGUUCGUUCGUUCGUUCGUUCAUUCAUGCAUUCAUUCAUAUUUAUUUAUUUAUUUAUUUAUUUAUUUAUUUAUUUUUCAUUCGUGUAUAUAUCGGGCUGGACCACUAACAUGUGCUGUUACCCAUAAAUUGUACUUCUGUAUCACAUAUAAUUGUGUGCUUUUUAUUGUUUUUAUAAUAAAAUAUGGUUCUGACUAUUGGUCUCUUGAAUUUAUUUGCAUACCAAUUAGCAAGUACAAUUAAUGUUAACUCAUAAAAUGUUUUUUCGAAUAAAACUGAUAUUUAUCCAAACUGAA
Mercenaria mercenaria is the source of this 1210-nucleotide long non-coding RNA. RefSeq lists it as uncharacterized. The transcript has 2 exons. The record is from RefSeq and is a predicted model, not a curated record. NCBI's taxonomy places the organism in Eukaryota, Metazoa, Mollusca, Bivalvia, Venerida, Veneridae.